RNAcentral lists this long non-coding RNA (493 nucleotides) under Aotus nancymaae (Ma's night monkey). RNAcentral describes it as "lncRNA (ENSANAG00000039501.1)". Lineage: Eukaryota; Metazoa; Chordata; Mammalia; Primates; Aotidae. The record is from RNAcentral.
UCCAAAUGGCACAGUUGCCUUCAGUUAAUUUUCACUUAGAUCUUAACCUUCUCAGUUUAUUUCCACUUGAACUCUGGAUAUUAAAGUCGAAAUAAUGCUUUGUGACCUUUAAGCAGAACACCAGCUGCUUCUCCACCCUUUCCCCUGUGGUUUAGUGACCCACACAGUCCAGUUCUGCAAUAGCCUUUUUCUGGAGUUCUAACCUCCUUCCCAGCAGGCAAUGACUAAUGCUUAGAGCCAAGCAUUACACCAAGGUUUACCAGGCAGAGCAAAUAAAUGGUCAUCUGAGACAUGCUUUCAAACAGACAUCUCUGUUCUUGGCACGAAGGUUAAGGACUGCGUGGUUGGCUGCUCGGUGGGGGUCCAGGCUGUGUGAAGGUCACACGUGUAAGUGGAUUAUGGGCUCAUUCAUCUCUACAGGGCAAGCCUGGAGAAGUUUUUUCUUGACUUACUAGAAAGAGAAGUAAAAGGCUGAGGAAGGCAUCGGGCGGUG